CCUCAGAACAAAGGAGGUUGUCUCCUGGGGAAGAGCAGGCCCACGUCCAACAUCACUCUCUCUGGGAACCCUUCCCUUUUGAGGCAUAGCCGCCUCGUUUCCAAAGUAGACCUGGAUACCAUGACGAUAAAAAGCUGGACACACUGCCUCGGUGCAGAUCUGCUGGCUGUGUGAUCUUGGCUAGAGAUGGUCAUGUAAUCCAGUUCUGGUCAAAGACACGCCUGGACUCUGCAGAACCUCUGUUCUUCUUAGUAAAUGAGGAGCCCCUACUUUCUGCCUCGAACACAGCGUCCGAAGACAUGAUGAUCCAAGCUGUGGUAGCCUCUUGACUGUGAGGGGAUAUGUCUGGACUCUUCAAGGAAAUACAUUGAGGACAGCAGAAUAAAGAGAAAGAGAGAGUUUGAUGCUAACUUCAAGUCAUUGGACCAACCUGGGAUUGACUGCCGGCCUGCAGAUAUCUAGUAUAAGAUGUUGGCUGUGUGCCAUGGCCCAUGCCUGUAAUCCCAGCACUUUGGGUUGGGAGACCGAGGCAGGUGGAUCACGAGGUCAAGAGAUCGAGACCAUCCUGGCCAACAAGGUGAAACCCUGUCUCUACUAAAAUACAAAAUAUUAGCCAAGCAUGGUCACGUGGGCCUGUAGUCCCAGCUACUCGGGAAGCUGAGGCAGAGGAAUCGCUUGAACCCAGGAGGCGGAGGUUGCAGUGAGCCGAGAUCACAGCACUGCACUCCAGCCUGGCAACAGAGCAAGACUCUGUUUAAAAAAAAAAGAUGUCUUGAUUGUAUAGGCCUCUGUUAGCUGGUUAAUCCUAUUUGCUUACAGCAGAAUGCAUCCCAAUGAAUACAACAGGUAUACGUGCAAUGAAAGAGAGUUCAGUCCUAGGGAGACUGCAAGGGGGAAAAAGUAGGCUCUGGGGUAAAAUAAUUAAAUAAUUCUUCCUUUCAUGGUGGUCAUGAAAUGGUAGCUAACAUUUAUUUGCUUUGUGUUUUUUUUUUUUUCUUUGUGAAGCACCUGUCUGCUAUUGGUGCUAUAUGUUUUUGAAAAUUCAUUUUUACCUCUCCAAGCCCAUUUCCUCACUGGAUUCAUGGAAAGAUGAAGGAGAGACUGCAUGUGAAAAGGGUGGACAUACUUUCUGUCUGGCUGGCUGCCUGUCUUGUUCACUGCACUUUCCCAGCACUAGAUAAAGUUUUUUUUAUUUUGUUGUUUUAUUUUUAGAGACAGGGUCCCACCAUGUCAUCAAGGUUGGAGUGCAGUGGCACAAUCACAGCUCACUGUAACCUCAAAUUCCUGGGCUUAAGUGAUCCUCUCGCCUCAGCCACCUGUGUGGCUGAGACUACAGGGACACACUACCACUCCAGGCUAUUUUUUAAAAUUUUUUGUCAAGACAAGAUCUCGAUAUGUUACCCCAGCUGGUCUCUAACUCCUGGCUUCAAGCAAUCCCUCCCACCUCAGCCUCUCAAAGCACUGGGAUUACAGGCAUGAGCCAUCCCUAGUUAAAAUUUGGUAAAGAAUAAAGCUCUUUCCCUCCGGCUUAUAAAAUCAGGACUCAGUAGUUAUUGCCAAAUGUGCCCCAUUGGUUAAUUUGGAUCUUUCCCCAUUCCUUGCAUGUCCAUUGGCCAUUCGGGCUUCAUUCCUAGAAUAUAUAUUUUUUGGGGGAGAUGGGGUGGUGGGGAUGGAGUGUUGGUCUGUCACCCAAGCUGGAGUGCAGUGGUGUGAUCUCGGCUGACUGCAACCUCCGCCCCCUGGGUUCAAGCAAUUCUCCUGCCUCAGCCUCCCAAAUAGCUGGGACUACAGGUGCCCACCACCACGCCCGGCUCAUUUUCGUGUUUUUAGAAGAGACGGGGUUUCACCAU
This 1850-nucleotide long non-coding RNA is filed under the name Homo sapiens (human). Its description in RNAcentral is "HSALNT0097769". Lineage: Eukaryota; Metazoa; Chordata; Mammalia; Primates; Hominidae. The record is from RNAcentral.